RNAcentral lists this ribosomal RNA (270 nucleotides) under Triticum aestivum (bread wheat). Its description in RNAcentral is "partial small subunit ribosomal RNA". The record is from RNAcentral. Lineage: Eukaryota; Viridiplantae; Streptophyta; Magnoliopsida; Poales; Poaceae.
AUGGCCAGGGACUUCAAUGAAAUUCUGCAUGCACACGAAAAAGAAGGGGGUGUAGCCCGAUCACAAUGGUGCAUGCAAGCUUUUAGUGACACCCUACGUGACUGUAACCUUGAUGAUUUGGGUUACUCAGGAGACAUAUUCAGUUGGCGCAGAGGUCGUAUUCGUGAGAGGCUGGAUAGGGCAGUGGGAAAUAGCUCUUGGGCCGACCUUUUCCCUUGCUUUGGAGUCUCAAAUGAACCGUUCAAUAAAUCUGAUCAUCGCCCUAUACUG